RNAcentral lists this ribosomal RNA (2121 nucleotides) under Sporisorium scitamineum. Its description in RNAcentral is "bacterial LSU rRNA". It matches the Rfam family "Bacterial large subunit ribosomal RNA", at positions 285 to 2247 of the family's 2925-position model. The record is from RNAcentral. Lineage: Eukaryota; Fungi; Basidiomycota; Ustilaginomycetes; Ustilaginales; Ustilaginaceae.
UAGUACUUUGGAAUAAGUAGACAUUAAAAUAGUGACAACAUUAUUUUCUGGGCGCCCAUAGAAGGUGAAAGUCCUGUAUGUGAUGAAAGUAAAGAUGUUAUUAAGUAAUAUGAGGACGUCAGCCUUGUAUGAAUAAGGGGGUACCAUCCUCCAAGGCUAAGUAUAACAUAUCUAGCGAUAGUGAAGAGUAACGUGAGUGAAAGGUGAAAAGUAAGUAGAUGACUAGUGAAAUAGAACCUGAACUAGUAAUCCUAUAAGCAGUUGGAGUUUUAGUAAGAAAUGACAACGUACCUUUUGCAUAAUGGGUCAGCGAGUUAGUUUAUAGAGCAAGAUGAAUAAUCUAAGCGAAAGCGACUAUAAUAAGUGGAUCAAGAAUAGAGCAAGAUGAAUAAUCAAGCGACUAUAAUAAGUGGAUCAAGAAUAGUUUUAUGAACUAGACCCGAAGCCAAAUGAUCUUACCAUGGCCAGGCUAAAAAAGGGCCGAACAGGUGAAUGUUGCAAAAUUCUCUGAUGAGCUGUGGUAAGGGGUGAAAGGCCAAUCUAAUUUGGAUGAUAGCUGGUAUUCUGCGAAACCUAUUUAGGUAGGGCCUCUAUUUACAUUUUUAUAUGUACAGCACUGAUCAUCAUACAUUAGCCAGAUAUUUAAUAUCACUAUGUUAAAUUGGGGGGUUUCACAACUCUACCAUUGAUGGUUAACCUCGGAAGGAUAAUAAUGAAUGAUAGGGGCACAGUCUAUUCAUGAUAAGGUGGAUAGACAAAAGGGAAACAGCCCAGAGCACGUGUUAAGGUCCCAAAAUAUUGUUAAGUGAAUAUAAGAAAGUUUAACUCCUAAUACAACCAUGAAGUAGGCUUGGAGGUAGCCAUCUUUUAAUGAUAGUGUAACAACUCAGUGGUCUAACUUGAGGAGAGAAGCGUCGAAAAUUAACGGGUCUUAGACAAUAUACCUACACCGUGACUAUUUAUAAUAUUUAUUACUUUUUAUUAUAAGUAAGGGUAGCAGAACACUCAGUAUCUGAUUGAAGGAAAAUGUUUCAUUUUCUGGACAGUACUGAAGAGAAAAUGCUGACAUGAGUAACGUAGAAAGGAGUUAAAACACUCCUCGCCGAAUACGAGAGGGUUUCAUGGAGAAGUUAAUCUGCCAUGAGUUAUACGGACUCUAAGGAUUAUAGGCGAACGUCUAUAUCUGAUGAGAAUUACUACCAAUAUACACUGAAUUGUCUAUAUAUAAUAACCAUUUCUCUGUACGAAAAUUUACAGAGUGCAUAUAAAUGGCUAGAUCGAGAAAAAUAAGUGUCACUAGAUUUAUAGUGAAUCCGUACCCUAAACCGACACAGGUUCGUAGGUAGAGAAUACUAAGGCGUAGAGAUAAUGCUUGUGAAGGAACUCGGCAAAUUGUGCCCGUAAGUUAGACGAUAAGGGUAACCAGAAUAAAUAAUUAUAUUCUAAUUCUGAGUGUCACAAAAUCGAGGGCUGCGACUGUUUACCAAAAACACAGCAACUUGCUAAGACGAAUAGUACUUGUAUAAGUUGUGAACUCUGCCCAAUGCCAUGUCGUGUAAAGAAGGUGAUCUAUUUCUAGUGAAACAAAAUUUUACUAAAUAGUGUCACUAACUGAUGCCAUGGUGAAUGGCGGUCUUAACUAUAAGGAUCUGAAAGUAGCGAAAUUCCUUGGCCAUUAAAUGUGGUCCUGCAUGAAUGAGGUAACGUGGCCCUGCUGUCUCCACAAGCAUCUCAGUGAAAUUGAAUUAGCGAAAUUGAAUUAGCCGUGCAGAAGGUAACGUGGCCCUGCUGUCUCCACAAGCAUCUCAGUGAAAUUGAAUUAGCCGUGCAGAUGCGGUUUACCUUCAGUUAGACGGGAAGACCCUAUGCAGCUUUACUGUAGCUUGAUAUUGUUUCUUCUAUAGCUAGGUGUAGUAUACAAGGGAGUAGAUCUUUUUCUACGUCAGUGAAAUACCUUGACUAGUCUAAAGAAAAGACUUACCUAAUGCUAGUUAUAAACUAGUUCCUUAUGAAAAAUUGCUAUAAUUUUCUAGUUAAUUCUCUCUAAAUUCUAUAGAUGUAGAAGAGUUUUCUCUUUUUUCUAUAAAGAUUUUCCUCUAUUAAUUCUAUAGAUGUAGAAGA